GAUGAACGCUAGCGGGAGGCUUAACACAUGCAAGUCGAGGGGCAGCAUAGGGUAGCAAUACUCUGAUGGCGACCGGCAAACGGGUGAGUAACGCGUAUGUAACCUACCCUGUACAGGGGGAUAACCCGGAGAAAUUCGGACUAAUAUCCCAUAACAAUAUCCGGGGGCAUCUUUGGAUAUUUAAAGUUCCGGCGGUACGGGAUGGGCAUGCGUAACAUUAGCUAGUUGGUAAGGUAACGGCUUACCAAGGCUUUGAUGUUUAGGGGUCCUGAGAGGGUGGUCCCCCACACUGGUACUGAGACACGGACCAGACUCCUACGGGAGGCAGCAGUGAGGAAUAUUGGUCAAUGGGCGCAAGCCUGAACCAGCCAUCCCGCGUGCAGGAAGACGGCGCUAUGCGUUGUAAACUGCUUUUCCAGGGAGAGAAACUUGCGCACGUGUUGCGCAAUUGACGGUACCCUGGGAAUAAGCAUCGGCUAACUCCGUGCCAGCAGCCGCGGUAAAACGUGCGUG
Molecule: ribosomal RNA, 513 nt
Filed under: uncultured bacterium
Lineage: Bacteria
Description: bacterial SSU rRNA
Rfam family: Bacterial small subunit ribosomal RNA
Source: RNAcentral